UGCAGUCGGACGGUAGCACAGAGGAGCUUGCUCCUCGGGUGACGAGUGGCGGACGGGUGAGUAAUGUCUGGGGAUCUGCCCGAUAGAGGGGGAUAACCACUGGAAACGGUGGCUAAUACCGCAUAACGUCGCAAGACCAAAGAGGGGGACCUUCGGGCCUCUCACUAUCGGAUGAACCCAGAUGGGAUUAGCUAGUAGGCGGGGUAACGGCCCACCUAGGCGACGAUCCCUAGCUGGUCUGAGAGGAUGACCAGCCACACUGGAACUGAGACACGGUCCAGACUCCUACGGGAGGCAGCAGUGGGGAAUAUUGCACAAUGGGCGCAAGCCUGAUGCAGCCAUGCCGCGUGUAUGAAGAAGGCCUUCGGGUUGUAAAGUACUUUCAGCGGGGAGGAAGGCGAUGAAGGUUAAUAACCUUGUCGAUUGACGUUACCCCGCAGAAAGAAGCACCGGCUAACUCCGUGCCAGCAGCCCGCGGUAAUACGGAGGGUGCAAGCGUUAAUCGGAAUUACUGGGGCGUAAAGCGCACGCAGGCGGUCUGUUAAGUCAGAUGUGAAAUCCCCGGGCUUAACCUGGGAACUGCAUUUGAAACUGGCAGGCUUGAGUCUCGUAGAGGGGGGUAGAAUUCCAGGUGUAGCGGUGAAAUGCGUAGAGAUCUGGAGGAAUACCGGUGGCGAAGGCGGCCCCCUGGACGAAGACUGACGCUCAGGUGCGAAAGCGUGGGGAGCAAACAGGAUUAGAUACCCUGGUAGUCCACGCCGUAAACGAUGUCGACUUGGAGGUUGUUCCCUUUGAGGAGUGGCUUCCGGAGCUAACGCGUUAAGUCGACCGCCUGGGGAGUACGGCCGCAAGGUUAAAACUCAAAUGAAUUGACGGGGGCCCGCACAAGCGGUGGAGCAUGUGGUUUAAUUCGAUGCAACGCGAAAGAACCUUUACCUACUCUUUGACAUCCCACGGAAUUUCGGCAGAGAUGCCUUAGUGCCUUUCGGGGAACCGUGAGACAGGUGCUGCAUGGCUGUCGUCAGCUCGUGUUGUGAAAUGUUGGGUUAAGUCCCGCAACGAGCGCAACCCUUAUCCUUUGUUGCCAGCGAUUCGGUCGGGAACUCAAAGGAGACUGCCGGUGAUAAACCGGAGGAAGGUGGGGAUGACGUCAAGUCAUCAUGGCCCUUACGAGUAGGGCUACACACGUGCUACAAUGGCGCAUACAAAGAGAAGCGACCUCGCGAGAGCAAGCGGACCUCAUAAAGUGCGUCGUAGUCCGGAUCGGAGUCUGCAACUCGACUCCGUGAAGUCGGAAUCGCUAGUAAUCGUGGAUCAGAAUGCCACGGUGAAUACGUUCCCGGGCCUUGUACACACCGCCCGUCACACCAUGGGAGUGGGUUGCAAAAGAAGUAGGUAGCUUAACCUCCGGGAGGGCGCUACCAC
Molecule: ribosomal RNA, 1425 nt
Filed under: Pantoea ananatis
Lineage: Bacteria; Pseudomonadati; Pseudomonadota; Gammaproteobacteria; Enterobacterales; Erwiniaceae
Description: bacterial SSU rRNA
Rfam family: Bacterial small subunit ribosomal RNA
Source: RNAcentral